Molecule: ribosomal RNA, 465 nt
Filed under: uncultured bacterium
Lineage: Bacteria
Description: partial 16S ribosomal RNA
Rfam family: Bacterial small subunit ribosomal RNA
Source: RNAcentral
GACGAACGCUGGCGGCGUGCUUAACACAUGCAAGUCGAACGGAAAGGCCCUGCUUGCAGGGUACUCGAGUGGCGAACGGGUGAGUAACACGUGGGUGAUCUGCCCUGCACUUCGGGAUAAGCCUGGGAAACUGGGUCUAAUACCGGAUAGGAGCCAUUUUUAGUGUGAUGGUUGGAAAGUUUUUUCGGUGUAGGAUGAGCUCGCGGCCUAUCAGCUUGUUGGUGGGGUAAUGGCCUACCAAGGCGGCGACGGGUAGCCGGCCUGAGAGGGUGGACGGCCACAUUGGGACUGAGAUACGUCCCAGACUCCUACGGGAGGCAGCAGUGGGGAAUAUUGCACAAUGGGCGCAAGCCUGAUGCAGCGACGCCGCGUGGGGGAUGACGGCCUUCGGGUUGUAAACUCCUUUCGCUAGGGACGAAGCUUUUUGUGACGGUACCUAGAUAAGAAGCACCGGCUAACUACGUG